ACAAGCUAGGAAGCGAGCUUAAAAGGGACAGCGAGCAAAAUGCUUUGAAUUUAAAAUCUGCAAUUUUCUGUUGAUUGCCGCACCCAGCAGACUGCAGUUUUAUAGUAACAUACAGCAGCAACAAUAGCAACAACCUCAAAGUGUUGGCGGUUGGCAAAGGGAAAAGAAGCAGCAGCAGCAGUAGCAGUAGAAGCAGCAGCAGCAGCAACAUCAUCACAACUUUUGCGUAAAAUUCCAGUCAUGUGUCCCUAACAAAUCCCUGCAUUAUUCAUGAAAUGAUAAGAUGACUUUGUGCUGCCGUCGUCGUCAUUCGCUCUAGAAUCCCGCCCACACCAGCAAGCGAACAACCGCCAUCACACCCACGUACCACCUCCCUCGCUGGAGGAGCAGCCCACUAUGCACGUAAUAUUUUUACAUGCAGCUGCAACACGGACUUUUCCUUCGGUCUGCUCAGUUUGUUGUCUGCAUUUAACUACCAAGGAUAUCCGUUAACUAU
Non-coding RNA from Drosophila melanogaster (fruit fly), 496 nucleotides. The record is from Ensembl. Lineage: Eukaryota; Metazoa; Arthropoda; Insecta; Diptera; Drosophilidae.